AAAUUAGAAAGCGAAAAAUUGCGUUUAGUUUCGACCUAAAUCUUGGUUCUCAUACCUCUAAUU
Molecule: transfer RNA, 63 nt
Filed under: Cherax sp. HG-2014a
Lineage: Eukaryota; Metazoa; Arthropoda; Malacostraca; Decapoda; Parastacidae
Description: tRNA-Arg
Source: RNAcentral